UGGAUAGCUCAGUCAGUAGAGCAUGAGACUGUUAAUCUCAGAGUCCUGGGUUUGAGCCCCACGUUGGGCAA
Non-coding RNA from Podarcis lilfordi (Lilford's wall lizard), 71 nucleotides. Lineage: Eukaryota; Metazoa; Chordata; Lepidosauria; Squamata; Lacertidae. The record is from the annotation of a GenBank genome assembly.